CCGCUGAAACUUAAGCAUAUCAAUAAGCGGAGGAAAAGAAACCAACAGGGAUUGCCCCAGUAACGGCGAGUGAAGCGGCAACAGCUCAAAUUUGAAAUCUGGCCCCCAGGGCCCGAGUUGUAAUUUGCAGAGGAUGCUUUUGGCGAGGUGCCGUCCGAGUUCCCUGGAAUGGGACGCCGUAGAGGGUGAGAGCCCCGUAUGGUCGGACACCGAGCCUCUGUAAAGCUCCUUCGACGAGUCGAGUAGUUUGGGAAUGCUGCUCUAAAUGGGAGGUAUAUGUCUUCUAAAGCUAAAUACCGGCCAGAGACCGAUAGCGCACAAGUAGAGUGAUCGAAAGAUGAAAAGCACUUUGAAAAGAGAGUUAAACAGUACGUGAAAUUGUUGAAAGGGAAGCGCUCACGACCAGACUUGGGCGCGGCGAAUCACCCGGCGGUUCUCGCCGGGGCACUUUGCCGGGCCUGGGCCAGCAUCGGUUCGCGCCGGGGGACAAAAACGGCGGGAAUGUGGCUCCCCUCGGGGAGUGUUAUAGCCCGCCGCGGAAUACCCUGGGGCGGACCGAGGACCGCGCACCAUGCUAGGAUGCUGGCGUAAUGGUCGUCAGCGACCCGUCUUGAAACACGGACCAAGGAGUCGUCUUCGUAUGCGAGUGUUCGGGUGUCAAACCCCUACGCGGAAUGAAAGUGAACGCAGGUGGGAGCCCUCGGGCGCACCACCGACCGAUCCCGAAGUUCUCUGACGGAUUUGAGUAGGAGCAUACGGGGCCGGACCCGAAAGAAGGUGAACUAUGCCUGUGUAGGGUGAAGCCAGAGGAAACUCUGGUGGAGGCUCGCAGCGGUUCUGACGUGCAAAUCGAUCGUCAAACAUGGGCAUGGGGGCGAAAGACUAAUCGAACCUUCUAGUAGCUGGUUUCC
This 911-nucleotide ribosomal RNA is filed under the name Metarhizium sp. AMVP-2014. RNAcentral's name for it is "eukaryotic LSU rRNA". It matches the Rfam family "Eukaryotic large subunit ribosomal RNA", at positions 25 to 959 of the family's 3401-position model. Lineage: Eukaryota; Fungi; Ascomycota; Sordariomycetes; Hypocreales; Clavicipitaceae. The record is from RNAcentral.